This is a small nuclear RNA of Chelonoidis abingdonii (Abingdon island giant tortoise), 128 nucleotides long. The record is from Ensembl. Lineage: Eukaryota; Metazoa; Chordata; Testudines; Testudinidae.
CCCUUUCUCUCAAGGAGAGAAAGUUAGCGCUCCCUUCGAUAAGGAUGGAAGAGGUCCUAGUGACCUUUACAACACGCAGCUGGUUAAGGCAUUGCCACUUAGUUUGUGGCAUCUAACUCUAGGGCUUU